UACGUAGGUGGCAAGCGUCGUCCGGAAUUACUGGGUGUAAAGGGAGCGCAGGCGGGAAGCCAAGUCAGCUGUGAAAACUACGGGCUUAACUUGUAGACUGCAGUUGAAACUGGUUUUCUUGAGUGAAGUAGAGGUUGGCGGAAUUCCGAGUGUAGCGGUGAAAUGCGUAGAUAUUCGGAGGAACACCGGUGGCGAAGGCGGCCAACUGGGCUUUAACUGACGCUGAGGCUCGAAAGUGUGGGGAGCAAACAGG
RNAcentral lists this ribosomal RNA (253 nucleotides) under uncultured bacterium. Its description in RNAcentral is "partial 16S ribosomal RNA". It matches the Rfam family "Bacterial small subunit ribosomal RNA", at positions 524 to 776 of the family's 1533-position model. The record is from RNAcentral.